Molecule: transfer RNA, 74 nt
Filed under: Candidatus Omnitrophota bacterium
Lineage: Bacteria; Pseudomonadati; Candidatus Omnitrophota
Description: tRNA-Gln
Rfam family: tRNA
About the family: Transfer RNA (tRNA) molecules are approximately 80 nucleotides in length. Their secondary structure includes four short double-helical elements and three loops (D, anti-codon, and T loops). Further hydrogen bonds mediate the characteristic L-shaped molecular structure. tRNAs have two regions of fundamental functional importance: the anti-codon, which is responsible for specific mRNA codon recognition, and the 3' end, to which the tRNAs corresponding amino acid is attached (by aminoacyl-tRNA synthetases). tRNAs cope with the degeneracy of the genetic code in two manners: having more than one tRNA (with a specific anti-codon) for a particular amino acid; and 'wobble' base-pairing, i.e. permitting non-standard base-pairing at the 3rd anti-codon position.
Source: RNAcentral
UGCCUGGUGGUGAAAUGGUAUCACACCGGCCUUUGGAGCCGUGGUUUCUGGUUCGAAUCCAGGCCAGGCAACCA